RNAcentral lists this ribosomal RNA (1005 nucleotides) under Triticum aestivum (bread wheat). Its description in RNAcentral is "partial small subunit ribosomal RNA". Lineage: Eukaryota; Viridiplantae; Streptophyta; Magnoliopsida; Poales; Poaceae. The record is from RNAcentral.
AUGACGAGGGGUGCAAUGGUUGCCGCCGUCGCCUUGGUCGCCCUCCUCCUCUUCCCCGCCACCUUCGCAUUUCCUCGGGCUGGCCAGCAGCAGCUGGAGCCCCACUUCUACGACCACUCGUGCCCUCAGGCGCAGCAGAUCGUGGCGUCCAUCGUCGGCAAGGCGCACGCCCAGGACCCCCGCAUGGCGGCCUCCCUCCUCCGCCUCCAUUUCCACGACUGCUUCGUCAAGGGAUGCGACGCGUCGAUCCUGCUGGACAGCAGCGCGUCGGUGGUGAGCGAGAAGCGGUCCAACACGAACAAGGACUCGGCGAGAGGGUUUGAGGUGGUGGACGAGAUCAAGGCCGCGCUGGAGGCCGCCUGCCCUCGCACCGUCUCCUGCGCCGACGUGCUCGCCCUCGCGGCGCGCGACUCCACCGUCAUGACCGGCGGCCCAGGCUGGAUCGUGCCUCUUGGUAGGAGAGACUCUUUGGGAGCCAGCAUCCAGGGCUCCAACAAUGACAUCCCUGCUCCCAACAAUACCCUCCCCACCAUCAUCACCAAGUUCAAGCUCCAGGGCCUUGACAUCGUCGACCUUGUCGCUCUCCUCGGUAGCCACACCAUUGGCAACUCGCGGUGCACGAGCUUCCGUCAGCGGCUGUACAACCAGACGGGCAACGGCCUCCCAGACUUCACGCUGGACCCGGCGACGGCGGCGGUGCUGCGCCCGCGGUGCCCGCGCUCCGGCGGCGACCAGAACCUCUUCUUCCUGGACCACGUGACGCCAUUCAAGUUCGACAACCAGUACUACAAAAACCUGCUGGUGAAACAAGGCCUGCUCAGCUCCGACGAGGUACUCUUCACCGGCAGCCCAGCCACCGCGGAACUCGUCAAGCUCUACGCCGCCAACCAGGACAUCUUCUUCCAGCACUUCGCGCAGUCCAUGGUGAAGAUGGGCAACAUCUCGCCAAUCACUGGCCGCAACGGCGAGAUCAGGAGCAACUGCAGGAGGGUUAACCACAACUGA